UAUUUUCAUUCUUAUCAGAUAUCUAACCGCUCUAAUUAGAUAAAUGACUUUGAACUAUAGAUUAUAUUUAUAAAAAGAUACAAAUUUAUGUUAUCAAAUAUUUUUAAUAAAUAUGUUGGGCCAUAGUUUUUAUUCUUUUUCUAUGAUAAUUGGGUUAAAAUUUUAUUAUUUGAAAGCCCAUUUAUCAUCUUUAAAGCCCAAUUAUUAUUAUAAGCUCAUAUGUCUUUCUUUAAUUAAAAUGAGAUGUUACGUGGUUCAGUUUUUCCUUAGCCAAAUAUUCUGAUUUAAUCUCCUUCAGCCACCUAAUUUUAUUCAGCCACGUAUCACUCACUGCUAUCACAUUUAAAUUCACCCAAAUAACCUACUAGGUUUCAUUUCAUCAAAAUUUUCCAGAGCACAAAUUUCAUUCAGGUUAACAGACUUCUCAUUUCUGAUAUUUCCUUCACAAAACUUCAGUUGGUAAUUUUAUUGUUUCUGUGAGAUUUCAUGUUUUAAUUUAUCACAGCAAAUUACUACGUUUUUCUUUCAUUCUCAUUUAUUUUGUGAAACAACACAAGCCCAUUAAACCAAACCCCUCUGUACAUAUGCACAUAACCAAAAUUCCUUAAAAAGAAAAUCUUUUAUAAGAAAUCAUUUUGAAUAAAUUCAUUUCCGUAAGUAUUUGACAAACAUCACAGCAGCAAACUUUGAUUUCUACAGCAGCAAACUUUGAUCAGCAAACUUUGAUUUCUUUCACAUUCAAAUCUUUGACGAACAAGUAAUUUACUACCUAUUUAAAUAUGACCAUCAUCGCUGCAAAUUUUACAAAGCAAAACUAUACUUUCGGAAAAAUCAAGUUUUUCUUUAUUUUCCCAAAUGUUUUUUAUAUGAAUUUGGACCUCAAUAAAUUAUAGCUUAUUUAUAUUGGAGCAGAUUUAUGAUGUUGGGCCAAAUAUAUUAUGUAACUUUGCAUAAUUUUAAAACAUUAGCUAUUAUUAAAUAUAAAUUUUAUUCUUAACAUUUUAGUAUAAUUUGGGCCUUGUAUAAAAUAUUUUUGUAGGCUAUUUGUUUGAGCCUCACUUGUAUUCAUGGGGUAAAAAUAUUGAAAAGCCCAUAAUAUUUUAGAUACUUAUCGAAUGUGAUUCUUUAAAUUUUUGUAGAAUUUCAACCACAACUUUAAUUCUUCCAGUUUAAGAAUCCUCCUCAGCCAUCCAAUUUAUUUAGUCAAUCUUGUGCAAUAAGGAAUUCAUUUUAUCCUUUCCACCGCCUCACUUUUUUAUAAAAUUAGCUUCUCUCAUUUUCUGGAAAUAUUUCGAAAAUACAGCUAGCCAAUUUUGAUUUCCACAGCAGCAAAUUUAGCAGCAAAUUUUGAAGCAGCCAACUUUGAAGCAACAAAGUUUGAUUGAUCUCUUUUCACACUUUCACACGUUCUAUGUCAAAUAUUUCAAUCUAUUUAAACAUCAUUGUAUCAUUCUCAAAUUCACAAAUCAACAAAAAUUCACUCAAAUAUUUCCAAUUCGCAGCAACUGAUUUAUUUCACUCAUUCAAGCUGGUAAUUUUAAUAACUUUUUGAAAAGUUAUUUCAUUUCAAGCAUAUCAACAAUUUUCUGCAUUUUCGCCAAAACCAAGGCUAAACAUCAAAAACUUUGUUUUCAAAAUCCAAUCAUGCAUACAUCUAUUUUUCUGUAAUUUAUAUAUAUUGCUAAAUACAUGAAAAAGAAAAUAGAAUAAAUCUUAUAUAUUACAUGGGAAAUAGAGAUAGAAGAAGUGGAAGAGGGAUGGUGCCUAGGAUACGGGGAGCUGUUGAACAGCGCCGCCGGUGCUACGCGCCACGGCGGCCGGCGGGAGAAGACAGAGGCGGCGACGGUGGUUUGGUUUGGCAGCACCGGAUCUGGAAAGGGAGGCAGCCUGACCGGCUGCUGCUGCCGGCCAAAGGAGAGGUGGGAGGCAUGGACGGGGUGGUGGCGCUGGCAGGCGGCGUGCCGUCUGGUGGUGGCGGCGGUAGGAGGCUGAGAGGGAGAGAAGAAGAGAGGGAGUGAACGGUUGAGAGAGAGCGGCAGAGAGAAUGAAGAGGUGCGACGCGACUAGGACGUGAACUUUAAAUUCUUGCAGUUAAUUUUCAAAGCUCAAAAGUUCAAGUUUCAGGUGUGGGAUUUAUUUCAGUACAUGCACGUGGUUAAUAUUUGUCCAUUUUAAUAUUAUGUGUUUACCGUAUGUGUUGUAAAAAUAUUUAUCGCUAGGGGCCAGCAUAAUUGGUCCAGGACUUCACCGUCCUUGGUAUGCCACAAAUGCGAUUUCAUGUUACAGGGUUGCAACCAUUAUAUUGUCGCCAGGGAUCCAUAUAUAGGGUCCGGGACAUUAAAGUCCUUGGAGUUGCCACAGUGCGUAUGGAAGUUAUGUUACGUUAUGACAAUAUGUGUUACCAUUUUAUUAACAUGGACAAUUAUUGCAUGUUCCCACACUGAGUGUACCCUGUAUGCUCAUCCCAUAUUCAACAGUUUCAGGUGAUUGAUAUCGGAGGCGCGUGGAGAGUCGAAUGGGCGCGUCGAAUCUAUUUAAAGAUAAAUGUUUCCUAAAACAUAUUAUGUUAUUUCAUGUGAUAUCUCUUGAUUAUGUAAACUCUGAAAUUCUAUACUAUUUGAGAUUUGUGUGUGAUUUGUUUAAAUAAAUGUUGUUAUAUUAUUUUAAUGUCAUGACUUGUUUAAUUUAUAUUUAAAUUCAUUUCAAAUAUUUAUUUAAGAAUUUAUAUCUUUACGAAAAUAUAUACAUGGAUACAUACAUAAUUUUUAAUUAUAUAAAGAUUUUAUUUUGUUAUAUUUUCCGCUGCUAAAAAGAUAUUAUUUUAUAUUUAGAGUUUUUCCUUAGUACAAGUUUUAUUAAUUAGUUAAUUAUUUUUCUGACAUCUUCAUGUCGUGCUUUGAAAAUAAAGUUGUUAAAUUUAUGAUUUAAAAAUCAAGAUUUAUAUUUGAAUACAUUAUUGAAAAUUUUUGAUAUCUUAUAAAUCGUUUUAAAAGUGCUUUAAAAACCAAUUUUAUUUAAAGGUUUCUUUUUCUUAAAAUUAUUUUCGAAAAUAUUUAUUUUAAAAGUGAGUUUUAAAUUAUUUUAAAAGACUUCCGCAUUAAAUAUUUAUUUAAAUUUUAUAUUUAACUCCUUAAUUAGAUUAGGGUGUUACAACAUGGUAUCAGAGCAGGUCUACUUUCCUGUAGACUCUGCAAAAUAUUUUACAUAAAAUUCUUAAAUGUCAUGUGUGAGAAAAUCCAUUCGACCUCUACGUGCUCCGACUUCAAGGUAAAUGUAUUUUAAAAGUAUUUCAAAAUAUUUUUAUAGGGAUGAGUAUAAAUUGUUUACGUUGAAAGUAUGUUGAAAUUUGCUGCAAUAAUUGAAGUUAUUAUCAGAAAGUUCAAGUUCAUUAUGCAAGUUAUUAUGAGAAAGUUUAGUAUUCAAAUUAUAUGUUGAAGAUUAUUGCAGCUAUGAGUAAAGAUAUUUCAAAUAUUUUUCAAGAGGAUGAGUAUAAAUUAUUUACGUUGAAAGUAUAGUGAAUUUGCUACAAUGAUUGAAGUUAUUAUGUGAAAAUGUUCAAGUUCAGUAUUCAAGUUAUUAUGUUGAAGAUUAUUGCAACUAUGAAUUGUCAAAUUUCGAGGACGAAAUUCUUUUAAGUGGGUAGGUUUGUCACAGCCCAAAACCAUUUACUACCUUUGCAAAUUUUAUUUGAAAAUUUAUUGUAUUUUCGAGAUAUUAAAAAUAUAAAUCUAUGAGUCGAGUUUGUGAUGAAUUAUCUAGUCGCGCCCCUAGCUAGAUGUAUGACUCUAAAUUCUAGGUUAUACCUAUAGAAAUAAAGUUUUAUAUUCUAAAAUAUUUUUAUAUAAAUUUGGGCCUAAAUAAAUUUAUUUACUUAAAUAUAUUUAUCAUGGACAUUAUAUUAAUUUUGGAUUAAGAAUAAAAUAUUUUCAUAAUUUUUAUUAGUGUUGGGACUUAUUAUUAUUAAUGGGCCAAAUUCUUUUGCAAUGAUCCUAAAACAAUUAUUCAAGUUUCAACAUUUAUAGUUUAUUAAUGAUUUCAAGGAUUUGGAUACCUUAUUUUCGUAUCUGCAAAUUAACAAUUUCUACUCUAUUUAUUUACAUUUGUUUAAAGAAGUCUCCAAGCCAGCCAUUCCUAUUUUCAUUCUUAUCAGAUAUCUAACCGCUCUAAUUAGAUAAAUGACUUUGAACUAUAGAUUAUAUUUAUAAAAAGAUACAAAUUUAUGUUAUCAAAUAUUUUUAAUAAAUAUGUUGGGCCAUAGUUUUUAUUCUUUUUCUAUGAUAAUUGGGUUAAAAUUUUAUUAUUUGAAAGCCCAUUUAUCAUCUUUAAAGCCCAAUUAUUAUUAUAAGCUCAUAUGUCUUUCUUUAAUUAAAAUGAGAUGUUACGUGGUUCAGUUUUUCCUUAGCCAAAUAUUCUGAUUUAAUCUCCUUCAGCCACCUAAUUUUAUUCAGCCACGUAUCACUCACUGCUAUCACAUUUAAAUUCACCCAAAUAACCUACUAGGUUUCAUUUCAUCAAAAUUUUCCAGAGCACAAAUUUCAUUCAGGUUAACAGACUUCUCAUUUCUGAUAUUUCCUUCACAAAACUUCAGUUGGUAAUUUUAUUGUUUCUGUGAGAUUUCAUGUUUUAAUUUAUCACAGCAAAUUACUACGUUUUUCUUUCAUUCUCAUUUAUUUUGUGAAACAACACAAGCCCAUUAAACCAAACCCCUCUGUACAUAUGCACAUAACCAAAAUUCCUUAAAAAGAAAAUCUUUUAUAAGAAAUCAUUUUGAAUAAAUUCAUUUCCGUAAGUAUUUGACAAACAUCACAGCAGCAAACUUUGAUUUCUACAGCAGCAAACUUUGAUCAGCAAACUUUGAUUUCUUUCACAUUCAAAUCUUUGACGAACAAGUAAUUUACUACCUAUUUAAAUAUGACCAUCAUCGCUGCAAAUUUUACAAAGCAAAACUAUACUUUCGGAAAAAUCAAGUUUUUCUUUAUUUUUCCAAAUAUUUUUAUAUGAAUUUGGACCUCAAUAAAUUAUAGCUUAUUUAUAUUGGAGCAGAUUUAUGAUGUUGGGCCAAAUAUAUUAUGUAACUUUGCAUAAUUUUAAAACAUUAGCUAUUAUUAAAUAUAAAUUUUAUUCUUAACAUUUUAGUAUAAUUUGGGCCUUGUAUAAAAUAUUUUUGUAGGCUAUUUGUUUGAGCCUCACUUGUAUUCAUGGGGUAAAAAUAUUGAAAAGCCCAUAAUAUUUUAGAUACUUAUCGAAUGUGAUUCUUUAAAUUUUUGUAGAAUUUCAACCACAACUUUAAUUCUUCCAGUUUAAGAAUCCUCCACAGCCAUCCAAUUUAUUUAGUCAAUCUUGUGCAAUAAGGAAUUCAUUUUAUCCUUUCCACCGCCUCACUUUUUUUAUAAAAUUAGCUUCUCUCAUUUUCUGGAAAUAUUUCGAAAAUACAGCUAGCCAAUUUUGAUUUCCACAGCAGCAAAUUUAGCAGCAAAUUUUGAAGCAGCUAACUUUGAAGCAACAAAGUUUGAUUGAUCUCUUUUCACACUUUCACACGUUCUAUGUCAAAUAUUUCAAUCUAUUUAAACAUCAUUGUAUCAUUCUCAAAUUCACAAAUCAACAAAAAUUCACUCAAAUAUUUCCAAUUCGCAGCAACUGAUUUAUUUCACUCAUUCAAGCUGGUAAUUUUAAUAACUUUUUGAAAAGUUAUUUCAUUUCAAGCAUAUCAACAAUUUUCUGCAUUUUCGCCAAAACCAAGGCUAAACAUCAAAAACUUUGUUUUCAAAAUCCAAUCAUGCAUACAUCUAUUUUUCUGUAAUUUAUAUAUAUUGCUAAAUACAUGAAAAAGAAAAUAGAAUAAAUCUUAUAUAUUACAUGGGAAAUAGAGAUAGAAGAAGUGGAAGAGGGAUGGUGCCUAGGAUACGGGGAGCUGUUGAACAGCGCCGCCGGUGCUACGCGCCACGGCGGCCGGCGGGAGAAGACAGAGGCGGCGACGGUGGUUUGGUUUGGCAGCACCGGAUCUGGAAAGGGAGGCAGCCUGACCGGCUGCUGCUGCCGGCCAAAGGAGAGGUGGGAGGCAUGGACGGGGUGGUGGCGCUGGCAGGCGGCGUGCCGUCUGGUGGUGGCGGCGGUAGGAGGCUGAGAGGGAGAGAAGAAGAGAGGGAGUGAACGGUUGAGAGAGAGCGGCAGAGAGAAUGAAGAGGUGCGACGCGACUAGGACGUGAACUUUAAAUUCUUGCAGUUAAUUUUCAAAGCUCAAAAGUUCAAGUUUCAGGUGUGGGAUUUAUUUCAGUACAUGCACGUGGUUAAUAUUUGUCCAUUUUAAUAUUAUGUGUUUACCGUAUGUGUUGUAAAAAUAUUUAUCGCUAGGGGCCAGCAUAAUUGGUCCAGGACUUCACCGUCCUUGGUAUGCCACAAAGCGAUUUCAUGUUACAGGGUUGCAACCAUUAUAUUGUCGCCAGGGAUCCAUAUAUAGGGUCCGGGACAUUAAAGUCCUUGGAGUUGCCACAGUGCGUAUGGAAGUUAUGUUACGUUAUGACAAUAUGUGUUACCAUUUUAUUAACAUGGACAAUUAUUGCAUGUUCCCACACUGAGUGUACCCUGUAUGCUCAUCCCAUAUUCAACAGUUUCAGGUGAUUGAUAUCGGAGGCGCGUGGAGAGUCGAAUGGGCGCGUCGAAUCUAUUUAAAGAUAAAUGUUUCCUAAAACAUAUUAUGUUAUUUCAUGUGAUAUCUCUUGAUUAUGUAAACUCUGAAAUUCUAUACUAUUUGAGAUUUGUGUGUGAUUUGUUUAAAUAAAUGUUGUUAUAUUAUUUUAAUGUCA
Molecule: long non-coding RNA, 6803 nt
Organism: Salvia miltiorrhiza (redroot sage)
Lineage: Eukaryota; Viridiplantae; Streptophyta; Magnoliopsida; Lamiales; Lamiaceae
Exons: 3
Source: RefSeq, a predicted model, not a curated record